This 371-nucleotide ribosomal RNA is filed under the name uncultured Enterobacteriaceae bacterium. RNAcentral's name for it is "bacterial SSU rRNA". It matches the Rfam family "Bacterial small subunit ribosomal RNA", at positions 1011 to 1382 of the family's 1533-position model. The record is from RNAcentral. Lineage: Bacteria; Pseudomonadati; Pseudomonadota; Gammaproteobacteria; Enterobacterales; Enterobacteriaceae.
UUAGUGCCUUCGGGAACGUCUGAGACAGGUGCUGCAUGGCUGUCGUCAGCUCGUGUUGUGAAAUGUUGGGUUAGUCCCGCAACGAGCGCAACCCUUAUCCUUUGUUGCCAGCGAGUAAUGUCGGGAACUCAAAGGAGACUGCCGGUGAUAAACCGGAGGAAGGUGGGAUGACGUCAAGUCAUCAUGGCCCUUACGAGUAGGGCUACACACGUGCUACAAUGGCAUAUACAAAGAGAAGCGAACUCGCGAGAGCAAGCGGACCUCAUAAAGUAUGUCGUAGUCCGGAUUGGAGUCUGCAACUCGACUCCAUGAAGUCGGAAUCGCUAGUAAUCGUAGAUCAGAAUGCUACGGUGAAUACGUUCCCGGGCCUU